RNAcentral lists this long non-coding RNA (5575 nucleotides) under Sus scrofa (pig). Its description in RNAcentral is "lncRNA (ENSSSCG00060005982.1)". Lineage: Eukaryota; Metazoa; Chordata; Mammalia; Artiodactyla; Suidae. The record is from RNAcentral.
UUUAAAUUAUUUUCACUCUUCUCUUUAUUGCCACCUCCUCCUCCUGGAGAUCACAGCUAAUGUCACCUUUACCAUCUCCUCCACUGGGUAGAGCCUGGACAUCUGGCACCUGGGCACUGGUCCUGCCUGGACACGGCCACUUCCAUUCUCACGACAGGAGCAAAGGGCCUGCCCUGUGGAGUGCCUUGACACUUUACCCCAAUAGCACGCUUAACACAAAGGAUCUCAGAGUGUCUUGGGGAAGAUGUGAUCUGUGCCAAGCUCAGUCCUUUUCCUGGACCCUCUGCAGAGAAGCCAGGGCAUUCUCCAGCCUGUGCUAGAAAUGCGACAAGCUCAGGAAUUAAGGUGCAGGAGUUCCCGCCAUGGCUCAGUGGUUAACAAACUCAACUAGUAUCCAUGAGGACAUGGGUUCAAUCCCUGGCCUUGCUCAGCGGGUUGGGGAUCGGGCACUGCUGUGAGCUGUGCUGUAGGUUGCAGGUGCAGCUUGGAUCCAGCAUUGCGAUUACUGUGGUAUAGGCCGGCAGCUACAGGUCCAAUUAGACCCCUAGCCUGGGAGCCCUCCAUACGCUCUAGGUGUGGCCCUAAAAAGACAAAAAGACAAAAAAAAAAGAAAUUAAGGUGCACAUUUCAUAGGCAGGCACUUCAUCAAGCACGGUCCUGUUCCCUUUGCUAAUCGUUUCAUGCCUGUGCUUCCUGCCUUCCCAGCCAUCCUGAGACCAUCUUGAGGGUAUGGACUGCAGCUUCUAGUUCUCUGUUAAGCCCAGGGUUCUGAGCAUCACAGUGAGGGCUGGAUUCAUAUCAGCUGGUUGUCUCAGCAUCAUCUCCACCAACCUGAGGCACAGGUGCUUCUCCAGGGCAUUUUCCAAGGGGGAAAGUCCAGGAUAAAGUCCCUGACCCCAAGUCUUUAUCUUACACCUGAAAAUACCCUUUCCCCCAACAAGGACACACUCACAGGCCUCCAGCAUUAGGGCCUGACAUCUUUGGGGGAUGCUUCGCCUACUGCACCACCGCCCACCACCUCUUCUGACCUCGAACGAGUGUCCAAGGGUCCCAGAUCAGCCUCUCUGAGUCGUGCUUAUCCCUCUGAGGUACAGGAAUGACUUUUAUGGAUCCGUUGGCUUCUUCACAGAGUGGUGGUGAGGACUGAGAGGUAAUAUAUAUAUUGAAAGCAUUUUCUAAGCUGUAAAGCCCCACACAAAUGCAAGACAACAUUAUUGCACUGGGAGCGUGGCAAGUUCAACACUUGAGAAAACUAUCAGAUUUUAAAACAUGUGAGGGAAUAGGAAACCAAUGUUACUCCAAAACCUCAUUUACACCCCACACCAAAGCCUCCCACUCUCCCUGCCUCCGCUCUCCCCUGUGGCUAUAGGGGUGUGACAGAGGCCUGUCUUGGGGGUGGCUUUGUGGCCUGAAAACAAAUCAUUCUUCACAGCUGGCUCCCCGAGUCCAAUAAGCCAGAAGGAAUUGGUAGAGAGAUUUAACGAUAUGUAUUUCAAGAAAAAGAUGAAAAUGUGUCUACUUUUAGGAGAUGCAGUAAAAAUGCAUCAGCCCCACAAUAAACUUGGCAGUGAAGAUGCAUAGAAGGCACACAUAUAAUGCAGUCAGGGCAGUAAUGUCUCAUUUCUAGGGAAAUCCUCUAAGAGAUCAAUUAGAAUUUGCCCCCGCCCAUGCCCUAUACACAGCCUCUGAACACGGUCCCACCCCUCCAGCUACCUCCAGCCUCUGCAGGGGGCCUGUUGGCUCAAAGCAGCUUGUUCCCCAGUCUCCCUUGGAAGUCUCUAGAAGAGAUGUGGGCUGAAACGGUUUGCAAACCAAUUACAUGAGAAGUGGGAAACUGUGGCCCCCAGAUCAAACCUGGCUCAUAAAUUACAGCUUUAUUGGAUCACAGCCAUGCUGAUUCCUUCUAUGAUGGCUUUGUUGCUCUAAUAGAAGAGUUUAAUAAUUCUGAUUGAAAUCACAUGGCCUGAAAGUCUAAUAUAUAUAUUAUUGGGCCUUUACAGAAAAAGUUUGUUGACAUCUGAAUAACGCCAUUACGUGAUAGGCUGUCUUUAGGCAAAACUGCCUGUAAAACCAAGAACAGGAUGACAGCUAAUUUUUUUGAGCCCUGUUCUGUGCCACGCAUGGCAUUGUGCCCAUAGGAACAGAAUGUCCCCUUAUUUAUUCUCGCAAGCAGUCCCAUGAGGUAGUAAUGCUAGCAGUAUGGCUAGAGGAGAAAACAGGCUCAGGGAAGCUAAGCAACUUUCUCAAGGUCUCAACCUGGAAAACCGGUAGAACUGGCGUUCACACUCAUGUGCGGCUGAUUCCACCACCCUUGCUCUGGCCGCCACUCUCAAGCAUCUGGUUUCCAGAUGGGCAAUUCGGAGACUCUCUUCCAGUCUCCAGCACCUUGCACUUGUUGAGGAUCUGAUUUUCUGUAUCUAAUGUACCUGCAUCGAAUCUCCCAUCAUUCACCUGCCUGCCGUGGCCGCUCUGCUAAGGAGUGAAGAAAGGGAGCCUUCCAAGCCGUCUUCCUCUCCCUUUCCCACCCUGUGCUCCCCAUCCCUGUGCUCAGUGGAUUUUGUCCCACAUUUCUGCAGGACCCGUGUUGCCGCAGUCUCCCCCGACUGUCCCACUCCUGGGCGAGAUUCUGACUGUUCUGGAGCCUCCAGUCUGCACAGAGGGGGGCGCCAACAGAGCCCUGGGAACAGAGGCAUUUGCAUUCCACUUCCCGGGGCUGUUCUGAUCUUACCUGCAAUUCUUCUGACAAAUUCUUAUCAGCGAUGCCCAUGGCGAAGUCUGUGGUGACUUUGUUCAUUCUUAUUAGCUCUGCAGAUUAGCUCUUCACAGCGCUUGGCUGGUUCAUACCGAUUCCUGAUAAAUGUUUUGACUGAUUUUCCUGACUUGGGAGCAGUUGGGGACUGGGGCUGGGGUGGAGGCAGAAGACCGUGAGGAGAGGGGUGCUGGCGAGGGGAAGGAGAGAAAAUUGUGGCCAGGAUUACAUCUGGGCUAUAAAAUAUUCAUCACAUGCCUGCAAGAGCAGGGUCAGCACCGCUUCCCCAAGAACUGCUCCCUCCACCAGGCAGCACUUUGAAAUGCACCAGCCCGGGCAGGCUGGGAGCAGCCGGGAGAGGCUUCUGAGAGAAGGGGCCAGUGGAAGUUAAAAGGAAGGAAGAACAAACCAGCUCACUUGGGCUUUCCUGUCCUUCUCGGUCCCUCCCUUCUCACCUGCUCUUCAAGAACAGCUUUUGAUGGCAGAAUACUGAUGUUCCGGGUGGGCUUAGCUGCUCCUGUGCUGGGUUCCUCUUCUCCCUUUUGCUGCCCCAAGAAACCUUCCUGAGAAUUUCAGCCCACCCUUCCUCUCCUUUCCAAGAGGUCCUCCAGCUUCCCUCUUUGAGGACUUCAGACAGUGCUAAUAACAGCGUUCCUCACCGUCUCCUGUAUUUCCCCACCUAGACUGGACUUAGAGUCAUGCCCCUCCCAAGACUAGACACGAGGUACCCAUUUGUAACGUCAUGGCUGAAUUAAAAGAGCUCCUUCCCUUUGGCAGAGUUGGCCAGCAGGUACCACCACACCACCAGUGCUGAAGCAAGGCAGGCAUUGCCGAUCGACUUCCACACGCUUUCUUCUCAAACCAAGAUGAAGUUUUCCCCUUGUUCUUAACAAGAGGUUCCAAGCAGCCACUCCUAAUCCAAUGGAAUCAAGAAGGAAAUAAAAACCUCUUUGCUAUCCUGGUUCUUUGGUACCCCCUGUAACUUCCUUGCAAUCAGGCACUACCUUUAGAGUCUAGGAACCUGGUACUGUGGCCCCAUAUAAAAUAGGAGUUCCUGUCGUGGUGCAGUGGUUCACGAAUCUGACUAGGAGCCAUGAGGUUGCGGGUUCGGUCCCUGCCCUUGCUCAGUGGGUUAACGAUCCGGCGUUGCCAUGAGCUGCGGUGUAGGUUGCAGACGCGGCUCGGAUCCCGCGUUGCUGUGGCUCUGGCGUAGGCCAGUGGCUACAGCUCCGAUUCAACCCCUAGCCUGGGAACCUCCUUAUGCCCAGGGAAGCGGCCCAAAGAAAUAGCAAAAAGACAAAAUAAAUAAAUAAAAAUAAAUAAAUAAAUAAAUAAAUAAAUAAACCCUGCACCCACAAAAGAAAGCUAUCCAUCACUUUCCGCAGGUAUCCGGUCAAGGCUUACCCUCUAAAAAAUUCUUUCAUGUGUCUAACCCAAGACCCUACUGCAGUAGAAUUAUAUUCCUGGGCUUUUCUCCCAUGGGAGAAAAAAGUCAGAUGCUUUGAGAAGUGAUGUUCUCACUCACUGCUCUUUCCCACUGCCCGGAAGUUUAAACUCUGGUGCCCAAGCACCUCACUCUGGAAAAACUCGACUCAUGCCAGCCCCAUGCCUGCUCGUGCCAGCUCCCUGGAAAAUGACCCACACCCCCGAAACUAGAAAGAGGCCUGGAGACUCUUGAAGGUCCUCUCUUGCCGCAGCCAAGUUUACUCAUUAGCCUUUCACCAGAUUUAUCUUCUCCCUGGUAGCCUGCAGCGCUUUGAUUUGUCCUGCUGUCACCAGGACUAAUGUUGAUGGCGGCACCCCCCCGGGGGCGUCAGGCUCUCCAGCCUCCUGCCAGAGCCCUCGAGGAAAAUGGAUGAGCAACUGACCCGCAAAAUAAAUACCAGACUUCCAGGUUCUGAUAAAGAUUAAAUAUUGGAGGAGUCAUUUCAAAUGAAUAUAUAAAAGCACAUGGAAGAAGCCUUUUAGACUCCGGCAGAGUGACAUACAGGCAAACAAAGAGAGAUGUCUUUGGGGAAGUUCAGUGGCAGGGAAGUUGGAGGCUCCGAAUGCAAUCUGCCCACAAAUACCCCAGCUGCAGGAAGGAUUCCAAAACAGUCAUCCCUCCCUUUCCCUCCACCCUCCCCACCCAGAUCGUGAAGAAGAGAAAGUGCUAAGCUCCAAAAGCCGCGUGCCAGCAUGAUGCUGAAGUCAGCUCUGGCCCAUCCAACCAAGGGAGAAGCCCCAUUACUCAACACCAUCUGCCUUGGGCGUGGAGCAGCCAAGAGCUAGGAUUACGGGCGGGGAUGGGGCUCUGAAGCCCCAAAGGAGAGAGUUACUGGGGAAGAGCAAGGUCAGGCAUCUCUGAGACAGAACGGGGAGGCGGGAGAGAAGCCAGAUGUCAGCAGAUGGAGCCAGUGUUCCUUGAGCCUGGGGCAGAAUGUGGUUUCUGGUCCGAAACAUGUGCAGAUUGAUUGCACAUCCAGAAACGCCCAAUAACCAGAAUCCCAGGAUCCUGUCUCUAGAAUCAAAUGUUGGAGUUCUCUGGAUCAAAGUUCAAGUGCAGUUAGCAUGGAGAUGGAAGGGGAGAGAGGCAGCCUUGAUUUACCUGGUGCCUGCAGUGCUGGGCCACUUACUCCUCCUGACCGUCCUGGGAGAUGGGCACCGGCAUCCAUUCCUUACAGAAAGGAGGCUGAGGCUGCGGCGAACGGAUGGCCACGAGGCUGGCGUUCGUCCCGCUGCCACAUGCUCAGUUCUCCAUCUCAGUCUGGAAGGCAGAGUCUUGGUGGUGGUCCAGGGACAGCUGUCCAAAUUCCUGAGAACCGGGCUCAGUAUCCAGGUCCCUCC